AAGUAGAGGCGACCUAACAAUAUAACCAGAGAUGCACGGAUCUCACUCCGCCUCUGUCCAGCGAAGCCUGGAGUUGCUAACAGGAAAAUCCCACUGGAGACCCCUGAGACCGUGGGCCCUGCCACUGGCCGAGGAGGAGCCGGAUGUGUAAAGAGCCACACUGCGAGACAACGAGAGCAGGAGAACCCCCCCGCCAGGACUGACAGGCGGAGGCCUCCAGAGGUGGGUGUCAC
Mustela erminea (ermine) is the source of this 233-nucleotide long non-coding RNA. RefSeq lists it as uncharacterized. The transcript has 3 exons. NCBI's taxonomy places the organism in Eukaryota, Metazoa, Chordata, Mammalia, Carnivora, Mustelidae. The record is from RefSeq and is a predicted model, not a curated record.